Molecule: ribosomal RNA, 428 nt
Filed under: uncultured archaeon
Lineage: Archaea
Description: bacterial SSU rRNA
Rfam family: Archaeal small subunit ribosomal RNA
Source: RNAcentral
UACCAGCUCUUCGAGUGGUGUGGAUGUUUAUUGGGCCUAAAGCAUCCGUAGCUGGCUGGGCAAGUCCCCUGUUAAAUCCACCGAUUCAAUCGUUGGAGUGCGGGGGAUACUGCUCGGCUAGGGGACGGGAGAGGCAGACGGUAUUUUCGGGGUAGGGGUGAAAUCCUAUAAUCCCGGGAAGACCACCAGUGGCGAAGGCUGUCUGCUAGAACGUGCCCGACGGUGAGGGAUGAAAGCUGGGGGAGCGAACCGGAUUAGAUACCCGGGUAGUCCCAGCUGUAAACGAUGCAGGCUAGGUGUUUGGACGGCCACGUGCCGUUCUAGUGCCGCAGGGAAGCCGUUAAGCCCGCCGCCUGGGGAGUACGGCCGCAAGGCUGAAACUUAAAGGAAUUGGCGGGGAGCACCACAAGGGGUGAAGCUUGCGGUUU